Molecule: ribosomal RNA, 427 nt
Filed under: uncultured bacterium
Lineage: Bacteria
Description: bacterial SSU rRNA
Rfam family: Bacterial small subunit ribosomal RNA
Source: RNAcentral
UCGAGAAUUUUUCACAAUGGGCGCAAGCCUGAUGGAGCGACGCCGCGUGGGGGAUGAAGGGUUUCGAUCUGUAAACCCCUGUCAUUUGCGAACAAACCUUGAUUGUGAAUAGCGAUCGAGCUGAUUGUAGCGGAAGAGGAAGGGACAGCUAACUCUGUGCCAGCAGCCGCGGUAAUACAGAGGUCCCAAGCGUUGUUCGGAUUCACUGAGCGUAAAGGGUGCGUAGGUGGUCGGUGAAGUUCGGUGUGAAAGCUCGGAGCUCAACUCCGAAACGGCAUUGAAAACUCAUCGGCUGGAGGGUCGGAGGGGAGACUGGAAUUCUCGGUGUAGCAGUGAAAUGCGUAGAUAUCGAGAGGAACACCAGUGGCGAAGGCGAGUCUCUGGACGACUCCUGACACUGAGGCACGAAAGCCAGGGGAGCAAACAG